This 222-nucleotide unclassified non-coding RNA is filed under the name uncultured fungus. RNAcentral's name for it is "sequence contains ITS1, 5.8S rRNA gene". The stretch from base 174 to 222 matches the Rfam family "5.8S ribosomal RNA", at positions 1 to 49 of the family's 154-position model. Lineage: Eukaryota; Fungi. The record is from RNAcentral.
UUUCCGUAGGUGAACCUGCGGAAGGAUCAUUAGUGAAUUCUUUCUUUGUCGAAGUAGGUGCAAGCCAAAAAGACAUCACUAUCCAACACCUGUGAAUAGUUGUAGACUCUUGUCUGCGCUUUUUUUAACCAAACUUUACAAGUCAAUGAUGUAAUUUUAUUAUAACCUAAUAAAACUUUCAACAACGGAUCUCUUGGCUCCCACAUCGAUGAAGAACGCAGC